CCCGGGCUGGCUGACGGGACGCGGUUUGUUUGCGUGUUUGUUUGUUGGUGCCGGUUCUUCCUGUCCGCCUCUCUGGCCCUCUCGGAAACGGGCAUAAAUGGAAAGGCCGAGUCUCACAGGCCGCCCUCCCCGCGGCUGACCAGGGUCGCCUUGGGCUCGCUGAACUGGGCCUGUGAGAAGUCGCUUUGCCCAGUCGAGCGUUUAGCGACCGAGAAGUGGUGGAUCGAGUGGAAGGGAAGAGGCGCGUAAUUGGCGUUUCUUGUCAAUUAGUCAAAACUGAAAAAGACCAAGCUCCGCGCAGUGCCACUGGCAUGCUUAAGAGCGUUUUCUCAGGGUGGUUGUGGUACGUAUGCAAAUGCAUUAAGGAAGAAUAUUUAAUCUGCGACUUCAACCGUGAAGUUAGAGCAAGCGAUAGCUCAGAAAAUGCAGAAAAAGCUGCUUGGAAUUUUGGUCUCACGCGGUGCUUCAAGAAACGUGACGUCAGUUUUAAAACUAGGGUUGAGCAUUCCCUUUUGUUAUUUUUUUAAAUCUCAGCAGAGAUGAUGAAAUCCUAUUCAAAACCAGUCACAGACUUCUCGUGGUUUACUAAUAGCCACAAGAUCAUAUCCAAAAUCCAAAUCACUUUCCAGAGCCCUCAUAAUAUCAUCCUGGGCCUUAUUUAUUCUGUGAAAUGUAAGAGUUCUACAACAGUGAUAUCUCAUGGACUUGCCAUUUCAUUAUUUCUUGGUAUCAUAACGACUUUACAGUCUCCUGGAGUCCUGGAGAGAAAUGCAGCUGACGAUGUAAUGGCCCUCCAAAAAGACCAGGCUCUAGCUGCCUUGCAGGACAGUCACACCAGAAGGAGAAGAUGUUAAGAUCACAGGAACUUUGUCUUGCAAAUCGUUUAUAUAAUCUAGAUAUGACUCACUGCUCUUGGUGUAAUCCCCAGGGAUCAGAAGCUCUGCUUUAAAAAACAGCUAGUCUCCAGAGAAGCAGUUUGUUUCUAUGUUUAGAAGAUGAGAAGAGUUCAAUUUAAAGGAUUCUUUUUCCAUUCCUUAAAAAAAAAGAGAGCGACAGAGAAAAGAAAGUCCAGCAAAGGCAAAUGCUCCCUUGGACAGAGAAUUUCAGCAGAUGUUCAUUGUCCCAAGGAUAAAACAGCUCCUACUUUGUAACUUAGCAUUUGCAAAUUUAGAGACUUAUAUAUUUCUAACUUGAAAUGAUUCAUGUGGUAUGAAUGAGAUGUAAAUAUUAAAAUUAUUUCUAUGAGAAAGUGGUGACAUUUUACUAUUGUCCACAGAAUGCUGAACACUGUUGCUAUAUUAUGAUAUGGUGAUGCGAUAAUUGUAGCCCAUCUGAGCGUUUCAAACUUCUCUAUUUUUUCCUUUUAACUAUUUACAACGGCACUCUGGAAAAUCAUUAAUAAUUAUAGUAACAUUUGUGGAGUACUUAAGAUGUAUGAGGCACUCACAAUUAUCAUUUGAGGCAAGUACUAUUAGUAUGUCCAUUUUAAAUGUGGAAACUAGGGUUCACAAAGGUUAAGUAACAUACUUAAAUUACAAUCCAAGAAGUGGUGGUAUUGGCAUUCAAAUGUAGUCAAUUUGACUGUAGGACAGGGGUCAUCCAGCCUUUUCUGUAAAAGCCAUGGAAUAAAUAUUUUAGGAUUUACAAGCCUUAUAGUCUGUAUUGCAAUUACCCAACUUUGUUUUUGCAAGACAAAAGGAACCUAAAAUAAUACGUAGAUGAAUUGCAAGGUUUGUUAGAAAACAACUUUAUUUAUGGACACUGAAAUUUUGAAUUUCUUAUAAUUUUCACAUGUCACAGGAUAUUAUCCUUCUUUGAUUUUUUCCCCAACUAUAACAAAUUCUUACCCCAUAGACUGAACCAAAACAUCUGAAAGGCUGGAUUGGGCCGACAGACUGGUUUGUUGACCACUGUUCAAGGCCCUUAAUGCUUUUACAGUUUUUCCAGUAGUGUGUUUAUGGUGAAUUUUUAAACAGCUAUUAAAACCACAUUUACAUUCUAGCAUUAUUGAGUAUUUCAGACUUUUAUUGUAUAAACAUAUGCUUUGGGGAAUAAGAUUAAUUUAUAUUGUAUAUAUUAAGGUGAAUCAUAUGAAAUUUGCCAAUAUUGAGCUUUAGACCUUUAAAAGAGGAAGUUUUAUGUUUCAACAUAGUAUCUAUAAAUGUAUGUUGCCUUAGGAGGUAAUGUUUUAUUAGAGUUAAGCAUAGACUAGUAUCCAGGGGAACUUUAUAUAAACAAUUCAAGCAUGAGAUGUGUGACAUAAUAGAUGAUCUUCAUGUUCCUUCAGAAUCUUUGCUAUGAAAUGUAUUUCAGUCAGUCUGCCUGUUCUAUUCCCCACUCUGUCUCUGGUGAAUCCUCUCUCAUCCCCUUCAUCUCUGGCAUGUACCCCAGUUCUUGUA
Long non-coding RNA from Talpa occidentalis (Iberian mole), 2399 nucleotides. RefSeq lists it as uncharacterized. The record is from RefSeq and is a predicted model, not a curated record. NCBI's taxonomy places the organism in Eukaryota, Metazoa, Chordata, Mammalia, Eulipotyphla, Talpidae. The transcript is spliced from 4 exons.